CGGCAGGCUUAACACAUGCAAGUCGAGGGGUAACAGGGAUUGCUUGCAAUCCGCUGACGACCGGCGCACGGGUGCGUAACGCGUAUGCAACCUACCUUCUUCAGGGGGAUAGUCAAUAGAAAUGUUGAAUAAUACCCCAUACGAUCAUUAAUCUGCAUGGAUUGAUGAAGAAAGCUCCGGCGGAAGAAGAUGGGCAUGCGUCCUAUUAGUUAGUUGGUAAGGUAACGGCUUACCAAGACAUCGAUAGGUAGGGGUCCUGAGAGGGAGACCCCCCACACUGGUACUGAGACACGGACCAGACUCCUACGGGAGGCAGCAGUGAGGAAUAUUGGACAAUGGAGGAAACUCUGAUCCAGCCAUGCCGCGUGCAGGAAGACGGCCCUACGGGUUGUAAACUGCUUUUAUACAGGAAGAAUUGCAUCUACGUGUAGAUGUUUGACGGUACUGUACGAAUAAGGAUCGGC
Molecule: ribosomal RNA, 464 nt
Filed under: uncultured Flavobacteriaceae bacterium
Lineage: Bacteria; Pseudomonadati; Bacteroidota; Flavobacteriia; Flavobacteriales; Flavobacteriaceae
Description: bacterial SSU rRNA
Rfam family: Bacterial small subunit ribosomal RNA
Source: RNAcentral